Molecule: RNase P RNA, 392 nt
Filed under: Bacillus sp. V5-8f
Lineage: Bacteria; Bacillati; Bacillota; Bacilli; Caryophanales; Bacillaceae
Description: Bacterial RNase P class B
Rfam family: Bacterial RNase P class B
About the family: Ribonuclease P (RNase P) is a ubiquitous endoribonuclease, found in archaea, bacteria and eukarya as well as chloroplasts and mitochondria. Its best characterised activity is the generation of mature 5'-ends of tRNAs by cleaving the 5'-leader elements of precursor-tRNAs.
Source: Rfam by way of RNAcentral
ACGUUCAGGUAAUCGCUGCAGCUUUCGGCUGUAGAGGAAAGUCCAUGCUCGCACGGGCUGAGAUGUCCGUAGUGUUCGUGCCUGGCGAAAAAAUAAGCCAGGGCAGCAAGUUGUUUGCUGACGGCUGGGAAAAUGCCUAAGUCCUUUAUGGAUAUGGUAUGAAUACCUUUAAAAGUGCCACAGUGACGGAGCCUUUCCGGAAACGGAAAGGGUGGAACGAGGUAAACCCCACGAGCGAGAAACCCAAAUUAUGGUAGGGGAGCUUUCUUCCUUGGAAAAAAUGAACGAGGGAGAAGGACAGAAGCUUAUGCAUCUGUAGAUAGAUGAUUACCGCCGAAGUACGAGAUGGAUAAUCGCUUGCAGUACUGAGGAACAAAACAUGGCUUAUAGGA